Molecule: transfer RNA, 67 nt
Filed under: Yanocephalus yanonis
Lineage: Eukaryota; Metazoa; Arthropoda; Insecta; Hemiptera; Cicadellidae
Description: tRNA-Val
Source: RNAcentral
CAGAUUGUAGCUUAUUUAAAGCUUUUUAUUUACACUAAUAGGAAAAUAUAUUAACUGUUUAAUCUGA